AUGGCCGCACCCAUGGCAUAUGGAAGUUCCUGGACUAGGGACUGAAUCUGAGCCGCAGGUGCGGCAGAGCCAGAUCCUUUAACCCACUGUGCUGGGCCGGGGAUAGAAACCGAGCCUCUACAGUCAGAUUCUUAACCAACUGCACCACAGUAGGAACCCCAACAUUCGACAUUUGAUGGUGCAGAUACCUCCUUCUUCCUUCAGUGUAAAUAUUCUAAUACAAAUAUUUUUAUUAAUUGCCCCCCGCCAAAAAACAACAAAAAACCAAAAAGCACAAUAAAAAAAUUGGACCUUACCAAACCACCUGUAGGGCUUGCUUGCCCCUCUGGUACACUCUUCCACCCUGUGUCUUGCCUUGGUAAUGCCUGAUGGGUCACCCGAUAGGCUUCAACCUAGACAUCACACAUUUCUUCAGGAACCUUCCCUUCCACUAUGCUCCUGUCACCAGGGGUGUAGUACUAGGGGAAUCACACCUGAUAGCAAUUGCUCAUUUAUUUAGUACCCUCCAGCAUAUACAUUAAAUACAUCUGUAAGUACUUGCUGACUAUUCCACUAGGUAAUAGGCACCACCCAACCUGGGAAAGAUGAUUGGUGCCUUCCCCGUAGAGCCUAGUCCAAGCUUUUGUUUUGUUUGUCCUUUUAUAGCCACACCUAUGGCAUAUGGAAGUUCCCAGGUGCAGCCCUAAAAGGACAAAAGACCAAAAAUAAAUAAAUCAACUGCAGCUUGUGUUAAGCUUAAUCCACUGAGCAAGGCCAAGGGUUGAACCUACAUCUUCACGGACACUUUGUGGGGUUCUUAACCCACUGAGCCACAAGAGGAACUCCUUGUUUUGUUUUUAAAUGGCUUUAUUGAGAUUUAGUCCAUGGACUAUGCAAUUCACCCAUUUAAGAUGUAAAAUUUGGGAGUUCCUGGGUGGCACAGUGGGUUAAGGAUUUUGCGAUGUCAUUGCUAUGGCUUGUAUUACCGCUGUGGCGCAGGUAAGAUCCCUGGCCCAGGAACUUCUGCAUACUGCAUGUAUAUGGCCAAAAAUAAAUAAAUAAAAUGUACAAUUUAGUGGCUUUUAGUAUAUUUACAAAGUUCAUCACCACAAUCAGUUUUAAAGUUUUCAUCAACCCCAAAAGAAACUUCGCACUCCUUAGGUAUCAUCGCUGGGGCCUCUGCAUCCCCUUCCCUUCCCCAUCACCCAGCCCCUGAGGUAACCACCAAUCUAGUGUAACCACAGAUCCUAUAGAUUUGCCUAUUCUGGAUAUUUCUUAUGUGAAUCAGGUUAGGUCUUCCCCAUCUUACCCAGUUCUGAGAUUCUUCUAAGAACUUCCCUGGAGAUUCAAAUUCAGAGAUCAGAGAAUCUGGUGGGUUCCCCCCCCCCCCCCCCCCCCNUUUUUAGGGCCGCACCUGCAGCAUAUGGAAGUUCCCAGGCUAGGGGUUUGAAUCGGCGCCACAGCUGCUGGACCACAGCACAACCACAGCCACGUGAGAUCCGAGCCAUGUCUUCCACCUACACCACAGCUCACAGCAACUCCGAAUCCCCAACCCACUGAGUGAGGCCAGGGAUUGAACCUGCACCCUCAUGGAUCCUAGUCGGGUUCGUUAACCAAUGAGCUACAAAGGGAACUCUGGAAUCUGUAUUUUUAACAUGGGGUCUUCUCUAAAGAGUCAAUUCUCUAUUUAAUCAGACUGCAUCUGCCUUUACUGUCUCCAGCAACCAAGGCCAAAUGUAUAGUAGUUGUCAACAAAUAGCUUUUGAUGACUACCUCUAAAACUUAACACAAUCAAGCAUUUUGAGUAUGGCGAGUCCCCUUGUGGCUUGGCAGGUUGGGGACAAUAUAGGCAGGGAGGAGUGAGAUCAGACUAGUAGAGGAGGCAAAUUGAAUCCACAGAGGCCAAAGGUGGCAAUUAGAAAGGGGCUUGUGGAGUGGCUGAAGAGUUUGGGAUUUAUUACCUCUAGGGUACUGGAGAGUCAUCCAUGGGCUUGAAGCAGGGGAAUUAUGAGAUCACAUCUGGGCUGUGCAGUUGUGUAGGGGGAGGAGGCAGGAAGCAGUGAAGAGUCUAAAGAUGUGGUCAGAAGUGAUAGUGCCUGAGCCAGGUUGGAGGCAGUGGGGAUAGAGAGAUUAGAGUGAAGAGAUAUCCCAAAGGCAGAAUGGACAAUUUAGAGAUUGAUGGGAUGUGGGAGAUGAGAGAAUGAAG
This 2185-nucleotide long non-coding RNA is filed under the name Sus scrofa (pig). RNAcentral's name for it is "lncRNA (ENSSSCG00050046254.1)". The record is from RNAcentral. Lineage: Eukaryota; Metazoa; Chordata; Mammalia; Artiodactyla; Suidae.